CCGAUCUCUGCGUGUUCCGGUUCUUUGUCAUCAAUGGGUUGCCGGGCGAGAUCAUUUCGAGUGGCACUUGAAAACGAUUUACGCAAUAUUUGAGUUAGAUUUUGACAUAAGACGUGUUUUAAAGAACUAUUCGGGCUAAUUUAUACAUCCUCCGUGAUAAAUAUCGUGCGAGACAACAGUAUUUAACGCGUUCGAUCUUAGGCCCUUUCGGUAUUAAUGAGCCGUACCCACUUCAGCUGACUGCGUCGUACGCAAGGCUACUCUAACUAAACUAGUAGUAGUCCGGCGUUCGAGGAAGGCGGUCGGGUGUUCGCCGUGGCUGUGAUAUGCGGAUAUGUUAUUGAGGUUUAAAAUGUUUUUGGAACGUUCGCCAUAGGCGUGACGGCGUCUAUAUCGCAACAGUUCGUGUCGAAAUUGUAUCGCGAGACCGGUGAGCGGCCGCCGGGGUCGCAGCGCGAGUGAGUGCCGUGGAGGACGAUCAGGGCGAGCCGAGGCUCAAUAAUGCUCAAAUUCCUGACUCAUAAGCUACGAACGCAUUCGUUGAAUGAGGAGAACGUUUCCGAGAAGGUGGAGGAGCGGGACUCCGGCACCGAGUCGGACGACGAGGCAGAGCGUGCCGACACCGGUGAAUACUGUGCUGACGUCAUCAUGAAAUGGAAUGACGUCACCGACAUCAGUAUGGGCGGUGAAGCAUGCGCCUGCGCGCCUGUUCCGCCGCGACCGCUCGUUGCGCCGGAGCCCGACCAGCUAUACGAUCACCAUUCUUCGGAAGAAGAACUAGAGAUGGUAUACAACAAUCAGUAAUCACGACGAAGACACGAUUAAGAAGUGACAGGAGACUGGUGCAGGUCAUCAAUGGCAGUCCUGCGGGGUCGUCCACUGUGGCAGCGAGAGGCGAAGGCCGACGGAGGGGAGCCUCGUCACCGGCACGCACUGCACCAGAAAAGCGUCGCUGGCCAGCGGAAACCUACCUCGAUGACGAGCUCGCUGCGAGGGCGCCUUCCUCGGACGACGACGACACAAAGGUGGAAACCCCGGUGCGGUUCCGCACGUCGCCACCACUGGAGGCGCUCAAGCCCAGACGCGCAGUGGGCGGCGCGAGCGUGGCGGGCGACGGCUGCGCGUGCGUCGGCCGCACGCCCGUGUCGCCGCGCCGGCGCCGCCUGCCGCUGCCGCCGCCGCGCCGGCACCGCCCCGCGUUAGACUUCGAUAAGAUGCAGCAGCUGAAGGUGGGCGGCGGCGGCGUGCGCUCGUGGCGCGCGGUGGGCGGCGCGCACGGCGGGGAGCUGUCCGUGUUCUGCUGGUGAUGGCGGCCGCCCUGAACACGAGCCGCGGGUUAGAGUGCGACGACUUUACCUCAUAUUCUGUGCAGUGCUCCGGUUACCCGUAACGUGUGUGUGCACAGGAGGAGAGUCGGCCCGCCCCUCGCGCGCCGCUGAAGCCGAGCAUCGCUGACCGUAUUUACUCUACACUACCACUACCCACUUAGCGCAAUAAGAAAACGAUUCCGAUACCCAUCUCCGUCGCGGCCCGCCCCUGAGCUGCGGGGCCGGACGGACGUCGGACUAGCCGGACCCGUCUCGGAGUCGGCAGAGCGCAACGACGCUCCGGUGUUGGAGUUCCUUACGUUGCACUCAAAUAAUGAUCAAAGUACAAACUUACUAAUACUAUUGUAUCGAAGCGCGGCCGCCCCGCGUUGCCGACCCAAUGUAGUUUUUGGAAAUAUUUACUCGUUUUGAAUACUGUGUUUAAAUUAUUGCCACUCUUGAUCGGUUUCGGAUGUUUGUAUCAGUAGUCGGACGCUACCUCUCGUGCGGCCUCGUGUGACCUCGUGCGACCUCGUGCGGCGGGAUCGCAGCGCACGCGGGUCCAAUUGUAUUAAAAGGAGGCCAUCGCUAGUUACACACGGAUUAUCAUUUUAAACUGUCGCCGUGACGGUCUGACGUUGCCCUAUUUGUCGAUGUGACAAAGUUUUAAAGGCUUUCACGAGGUGCGGGUUUCUCCGAUGGGAAUCGUUUUCUACCGGCCGGUCGAUAAUAUUACUUGUGAAUUAAAUGUUUCUAGUGUAGACGCGCGGCGUUAGAUACGCGUAUAAAUUUAUAUAUUGAACGUGUACGUUACUUAGACUUUACUUCGUAAUUCUGUGCGCGUGGAAUGUCACUGGGUAUAAUCGUGGCAGGCGAGACCCGCAUCGCGUGAAACGGAUUAUAAGAGGUGACGUAUCAUUAGAAUCGCCUCGGCUUUUGAUCUCGAAUGACGAUGAGCGGCUCGACCGCUGUCGGGAGUCUCUCCAUACGACUGCCGGUCGAGCCGCACGUGAUUCCUUAAUAGAUUAUCAAAAUAUUUUUAUCAUUUUAAAAAUGUCAAUUGAUACGAACACGAUGCUGCUUUUCGUGCGCUAUGCCUGUGGCCGUCGGCUGCGAACGACGGAACGGGACGUGACGUCAUUGUCAUGGGCGCUCGGUUCGUACGAUAUAUCGGUUGUACCUAGUUGUAACUUAUGUUAGUAGUUUAUUUAGCUGGGCUAAUUCUGUUACUCUUGUUGUGUUAUAAACGAAAAUGAAGAAAAAAUAUAAUAAAAAUGUGGUGCGAGUGGAUACAGUGAAUUUAACGAUAAAGACAUUUAACAAAUUUUCAAAUUAAUACGAUAAAAGUACUAAGACUUUUUUUAAAAAUCGCUUGGAUAAAGAUCGUAUGUACAUAGUGUUAAGUUACGUAGGGUUUAAGUGCAGUCCUAGAUGUAGUAGGUAUAACAAAUUGUAUGGCGGAGGCGCCCGGCGCCCGCUCUUCUGUUAACAAUUCUUAUUGUGUUAUUUUAUUUCUGCUUAAGUUUCGUUACUGACUCGUCCAUGUUGUUCCCCGACCUGUGACCUGUGACCUGUGAACCGACCCGUCACUGCGAGCCCCGACCUCCCGACUGCGGCGGUCGCAUCGUUUUUAUACAAUACUUCAGGCAAACCAUUCCACUGCUGAACACAUCGCAGAGGCGUCGACUUUAUUUUUGCGAAUAAUAACUUUCUCAAAUAUUUUUUGAAAAGGAGAAAUUAAACGAUUUUUACGGAGUUUCACUUGUAAAUUGUACCUAAGAUUUCGAGAAAUUAAAAUGUUUGCCUCUCGACGUGUUCCGCGCGGAGCGGCCCGCAGUGACGGCCGGCCCGACACUCGAUGGUGAUAUUUACAAGAUCAUUUAUAUUAUGUUUUUAUAUACUGAAUUAACAAGCGUAAUAAAGAGUGAGCAAUGGCACAUCUUAA
This is an RNA transcript of Nymphalis io (European peacock), 3252 nucleotides long. RefSeq lists it as uncharacterized. The transcript has 8 exons. The record is from RefSeq and is a predicted model, not a curated record. NCBI's taxonomy places the organism in Eukaryota, Metazoa, Arthropoda, Insecta, Lepidoptera, Nymphalidae.